This 336-nucleotide unclassified non-coding RNA is filed under the name soil metagenome. Its description in RNAcentral is "partial contains 5.8S ribosomal RNA, internal transcribed spacer 2, and large subunit ribosomal RNA". The stretch from base 1 to 120 matches the Rfam family "5.8S ribosomal RNA", at positions 35 to 154 of the family's 154-position model. The record is from RNAcentral.
GAUGAAGAACGUAGCGAAAUGCGAUAAGUAAUGUGAAUUGCAGAAUUCAGUGAAUCAUCGAAUCUUUGAACGCACAUUGCGCCCGCCAGUAUUCUGGCGGGCAUGCCUGUUCGAGCGUCAUUUCAACCAUCAAGCCCCCGGCUUGUGUUGGGGACCUGCGGCUGCCGCAGGCCCUGAAAAGCAGUGGCGGGCUCGCUGUCACACCGAGCGUAGUAGCAUACAUCUCGCUCUGGGGGUGCUGCGGGUUCCGGCCGUUAAACCACCUUCAUAACCCAAGGUUGACCUCGGAUCAGGUAGGAAGACCCGCUGAACUUAAGCAUAUCAAUAAGCGGAGGA